UCGCGGCUUAUCACCGGCAGUCCCCUUAGAGUGCCCAACUGAAUGAUGGCAACUAAGGGCGAGGGUUGCGCUCGUUGCGGGACUUAACCCAACAUCUCACGACACGAGCUGACGACAGCCAUGCAGCACCUGUCUCUCGGUUCCCUUGCGGGCACCCCGCUAUCUCUAGCAGGUUCCGAGGAUGUCAAGACCAGGUAAGGUUCUGCGCGUUGCGUCGGAUUAAACAACAUGCUCCACCGCUUGUGCGGGCCCCCGUCAAUUCCUUUGAGUUUCACCCUUGCGAGCGUACUCCCCAGGUGGAAUGCUUACCGGGUUACCUCCGGCACUGACCGUUUCCGGCCAACACCAAGCAUUCAUCGUUUAGGGCGUGGACUAC
RNAcentral lists this unclassified non-coding RNA (376 nucleotides) under uncultured bacterium. RNAcentral describes it as "contains 16S-23S intergenic spacer region". The record is from RNAcentral.